CAUUGCGAGAGCGUCGUUUGGAAAUUUUAAUUUAACGUCGGUUGAUAAAGCCAAGAUUUCUUAAAUUAUAGUAGAAAAUAAGAAGAAAUACUUCAUUGUUUGAAGAUUCAGACAUUAAUUUUAAAUGUAAGUGUUCAACUAUGUCAAUAUUUUUAAGUUUUGUGUGUAAAUAUGUGCCAUAAAUGGUAAUAUAUUCAUGUGUAUUUUAACCGCCAUUGCCGUUGGCCGCAUUGUAUUUUGUAUUUGGUUCAACAAUAUAUUGUUAUUAAAAUACAUUAAAAAAUAGUGAUAUUGCUUUGUAUUGACAGGUUAUAAUUUCAAGCAAUAAGUACUGUCAUAAUAUGUGUUCGAAGCAGGUCGAAUUGUCGAAAUCAUGAUAUAUACAGGCUACAAGAAGGUAUGAAAUAUAUACAAUUAUACAUUAGAUAGCACAAAGGAAGGAUUGUUCGCUCAUACAAAGCCAUGGAACUUGCUUUGGCGAUUAGAUAAAUAUUAGCUAAAUGAGUUAAUAUUGAUACCCUUUCAAUAGUGAUCAAUACAUUGUUGACUCAAUAGCUAUUAAUAUUGAUAUAAUCUCCAAAGCAAGUUCUAUGGCUUUGUAUUAGGCCCUGUUUACAUGAAACCACAACAAAGUCAAACCGGGACCAUUUUGUUUCUCUCAUAGUAUGAUCUAUAAUAGAUGUUUACAAGAGACCGGGAUGAAAAUAACUCGACAGACCAGUCUCAAGUCAAUAAUUCUGCCUGCUGGAUCAAGCCGAUUGACUUUAGACGGCAUGAAUUCAGACUGGGAUGAAUGUAAACACAAAUAUAUUUCAGACCGGUCUUGGCUGUAACCUUGACAUUGGGACAACAUAUGCUAACAAAAGCCAUCUGAACAAGAAAAUUGCCUAGCAAGGGGAAUAAAUUGAAAAUUUUGUGAUUUUUAUACUGAUCUCAUGUAAACAUGUUAACAAUUUCAAUUUUCCUUCCAGUUUGACUUCGUCCCGGUUUCAUGUAAAUGGGGCCUAAGAGCAGAACAAUCCUUCCUUUGUGUUAUCUAUAUUAUGCUAUCAUAGUAAAUAGCUGUAUUUCUAUUUAAUAUUCAGACAACCCAGGUAGACUGUUCCUAAAUUCCCUGAAUAUAUUGAGAAUACAUGUUUGAGUCCCUCAUACUAAAAUAUUGUUUAUAUGCCUCUGAGAGUUUCCAGGCUCACAAUUUUAUGCAUAAAGAAACUGUUUAAGAGGCCACAUCCAUAUUCAUGUUGCCACAACAACAUCGAAUCGACAUUAUGAGUGGGUGGGUUUUAUGUGUUCAAACUUAUCGCUGUUAUCUUGUGGCAAUUUGACAAUUAAUGCCAAUAAAUUAUCAAUAAUUGGUGUUAAAUUAUUAAUUGACAAUAAAUUUAUUACAGUAUCUACAAAUAAACUUGGAAUGUAAAAUAAUACCAAUUUUUAUUUUGUAGCCGACUCACCACAAAAAAUUACAAAUUGAGUUGCAUUAUGCCCUGAUAUGCCCUACUUUAUUAUUUAACUUUAUUUAAUGCCAGACUAUUUAACUGGUGCUUAAUGGGUUAACUGUCAUAUCUGCCCAUGUUCCUAGUUACCCCCAUCAUGUCAACUAUGCCACAUUGCACCCUACUUUAUUAUUUUACUUUGCCUAACGCCAGAUGAUUGUACUUGUCAAGGGGAGAGGGCUCCCGCUUAAUGGGUUAGAGUACCAUUUAACAGCAAAGAUUCUAUUGGUUACAAAUUACCUUUACCGGUAACAUAAACUUUCAUUUGGAUUUUGACUGAUAUAAACUGUAUUGAAAUGAUUCAACUGAAUCAAAGUACCGUGUGUAAUUGUGAAGUAUUUUCAAAAGUAGGUUGUUUAAUUACUGAUUGAAAAAUAAGAAAAUCAUUUAAAGAAAUUCUUAUUUUUCAGGUAGUUAAACAAUCUACUGUUUGCAACUGUAGUUAGUGAAUAGUCUACUUUGCUGUAUGAUUGAUUACAGUGAUUACAGGUUUUGAAGAAACAAUUGUUGAAUUAGUAUCUGUGCAUUUAUAUUAUGGACAUGGAUUAAACAAUUAACAUAGAUUAAGAUACUUAAUUGAAAGAACUUAAUCUAUAUGUGUAUGUAUACUGUACAGAAAUUUAUUCUAUGUUUAAAUCUUUUUGUGUAGGGGAUGCUCAACCCCCUUUAUCAGGAUCUCAACCCCUUGUCUAUUGGCUACUGGACCUCUGGAAGAGAUAAGUUUGAUUUCAUUGAUUGCAGAGGGAAUGUUUGUGAAAAAAUUCAAAUUGUGCAAUAUAGCCAACAACCCGCAGUUUAUGAUAAUGCACAAUUUAUGAUAAUGAUGAUAUUAUAUCAUUAAUGUAAUGCAUGUAUUGUACAUGCAGGAUAUACCGUAAAUCUCCAAAUAUAAGCCCCCCCCAUGUAUAAGUCCCCCCCCCCGUAUAAGCCCACCACAUGUACUAACGCUCACCUCAUUCCAAAUAUAAGCCCCCCCUGAAUAUAAGCCCACCCAAAUAUAAAUAAGCCCACUUGUUUAUCACUAUUACAACUAUUUAUCAUUAUUAUUACUAUGCUUGUUUAACACUUGUUUAUCACUAUUACUAUACUUGUUUAUUGCUAUUAAACUAACACAAAAGAUUGUCCAUGUAUACGCCCAUCAAAAAUCGCUUACGAAAGAAUGUAAGCCCAGGGCUUAUAGUUGGAAGUUUACGGUAUUGUCCUUAUCUUUAAUGACUAGAGUGUAGUACGAGGAGAGUUAUGGCGUCACAAUCAUGGUCUAUUUCUGUGAAUGUUUCUAUAUAGUGUAAACCUUAGGUGCA
This 2794-nucleotide long non-coding RNA is filed under the name Paramuricea clavata. The record is from RNAcentral. Lineage: Eukaryota; Metazoa; Cnidaria; Anthozoa; Malacalcyonacea; Plexauridae.